UACGUAGGAUGCGAGCGUUGUCCGGAUUUAUUGGGCGUAAAGGGCUCGUAGGCGGUUUGUCGCGUCGGGAGUGAAAACACCGGGCUUAACUCGGUGCUUGCUUUCGAUACGGGCAGACUGGAGGCAUGCAGGGGAGAACGGAAUUCCUGGUGUAGCGGUGAAAUGCGCAGAUAUCAGGAGGAACACCGGUGGCGAAGGCGGUUCUCUGGGCAUGUCCUGACGCUGAGGAGCGAAAGUGUGGGGAGCGAACAGG
This 253-nucleotide ribosomal RNA is filed under the name uncultured bacterium. RNAcentral's name for it is "partial 16S ribosomal RNA". It matches the Rfam family "Bacterial small subunit ribosomal RNA", at positions 524 to 776 of the family's 1533-position model. The record is from RNAcentral.